Molecule: long non-coding RNA, 364 nt
Filed under: Gallus gallus (chicken)
Lineage: Eukaryota; Metazoa; Chordata; Aves; Galliformes; Phasianidae
Description: long non-coding RNA NONGGAT012071
Source: RNAcentral
GCCUUGAUACCAGAACAGCACUGCUGUUUAUUUAGCACACCUGUGUUAUUUAGCACACUGUUUGUGCUUCUGUUCCUCCUGCAGGAGACGUACACAUCCUUCUGAAGCAGCUUGUGCUGUUUGGUUUUGAUGAGCAGGCUGAGGGGCUGCAGCAAGCCCUGGAAGAAGUUCUGCAGUUGAUGGAGGCCUCAAUCCCAGAAAUCUGGACUCCAGCCUUGCAGCAGAGUUCUCUCAACCCGGUCCUGGGACCCAACUCAACUGCAAACAGCAUCAUGGCUGCCUAUCAGCAGAAGAGGAUGGUGGUUCCUGCUGUACAAGGUGAGUUCAGGUUCCUGGUUAGGUGUGACUGUGUAGCAUCAUUGUG